AUUAUAUGAGAACGUUAUUCGUCGUGUUAAUAUGUGCAGGGAACGCAUUAUGUGAGGGCGUGAUUGGAAGGGAGGUGGGGCCCCUUUGUGGGGAGAUAAAUGAUACAUAUACGUAGUCUAACAGAAGUAGAUAACCGACCGGCGAUUUUGUUUCCUUUCCAGAAAAGUAGCUAUCGUUAGCAACGGAAGGAGACGAGGCAUGCACGCCCUACAUUACCGGACUGCAUGCAAAAGAUUUUGUGGAGGUGGUAUUUUCGAUAGGAAAAUUUUGGAGGAUUCUAGAAAGUUACUUCCAAUCCCAUCAACAAUAAAACAAAACACGGGUUUAUUCUUCGGCAAGAAAUAAAUGACUAGAUUGUAACCUACACCAUCGUGUACCCAGCCUAUAUAUAUGCUUUGUACGCAUCAACCUAAACCUCACCACAGCCCAGCCUCCCUCCUUGAAUCCCAUCCUUGAACCUUGAGCAGAACCAACCAAUCUCGCCAUCACCAUCACCACCACCGUCAUAUGUCUCCCUAUCAUCCUGCUGCGUCCGUCAGGCCUGCACAGUCAGUCACGAAGCAGUCCAAGUCACGUGCAUCGAAGCCCCCACCUUCAUCGACAAAGUCAGGUGCACCGAAGCCGCCACACUCGUCGGCAAAGAAGGUAUACAUAUCUCAUUGAACCCGUACAUCAACUCGUGUAGAUCAGCAUGACAUAGCAGUCCCGAUUUACCAUAGCCUACUAUAGAUCCACAUGACGCCUCUUGUGUAGAUCAGUCCCGAUUUCCUUUUUUUUGAAUGACAAUCCCGAUUACAUCCUGUUUACAUUACAUCAAAAAAAGAUCAGUAGAUUACAUAAAAAAGAUUAGCUUAAGUACAAGUUACAUUAAUCAAAUCAUUACUUCAGCCUGGCACGUCUUAAACUAAUUAGCUAGCAAUAUAGUACGUCAACGAAUGAGUAAGUAAAGUUAUAUUUUUAUUUCUCAGUGGUACGUACAGUAAAAUUAUAUUUUUAUUUCUCAGUAAAAAUAUGCUGAAAAUCCGUAGGCACAUUCACCAUAGCCUACUCUUACUGAAGAUAGAAAGAGAACAUGCAUGCAAAUUAAAGAUAGAAAGAGAACAUGCAUGCAAAUUAAAACAACACCGCAUAUAGCCAAAUAAACAGCCUAAAUGAUAAUCUUAAUUAUUUGUUCACAAUAAAUCUCUUAUUUUUGUUGGCUUGUCACUGAAAAUAAUCUUUGCACAUACAGGGUACCCAGGUUGUAUCAAUGCACGGGUACUCGGAGUUUGUCCAGUCGCUAACCCAGGAACAAUAUGUCAUAGCUAGUCAAACGACAAUUCGCGAACAGUUUGUCUAAUUCACAUCUAGAUGUUUUUUAAGGAUCUCAGAGCUAACCUCCCACAAAUAUAUAAUGGAGCAACAAGAAGCAAAAAAAACUAGGACAAAAAAAUGGACCACAAACAGAGUGAAAAUCAGCUUAGAUGUGACAUAACUAUGUCACAUCUAGAUGUGUCCUAGACAGACCCAUUCGCGAAACUCUGAAGACUCCUGCAAUGAACGUUAGGAGAGUUUUGUGCCAAAAGAUUGCUAGCACAUAUGAUUCACAAGUUGUCGCGUUUGUGAUACACGGGGUACCUAUGAGAAUAACCUUGCAAGACGUAGAACACAUCACAGGCCUGCCCAGCAUGGGGAGGGACUAUGUCCCUCCUCCGUUCAAAGAAGUGCAGGACUUAUGGCUUGAUUUAAAGGAUCCCGAAGAUAACAAACUGACCUUGAAAGGUAUAUGAUAUUUUCAGAACUAUUUUUUCGUUUGAUAAUGGAACAAAUUUCAUAAUUACAAUACUUGACAAACAACCUUUUCAGGUCUUCGUAAGAAGAUGAUUGGCGAAGAGAGGCCACGGUUUGUGAAGCCUUAUGUCUUGUACACCAUUGGCAAGUUGGUUUGCCCAACGACACAACCCUAUGUUGAUCCAAAUAUUUGGGAAUUGUUAUCGACAUACAUACUAUAAACUCCAUAAAUUAUGCUAAACUAUUUCUUGACCACUUAAUGUCAAGUGUGAGGAAGUUUGUGAACGGUGCCGCGAACUUGGAGGGGAAUCUCCCACUACUGCAGGUAGUACAAACUCUUCCUAUGAUAUUCUUUAAUUGGUCAAUUAUGUAUUCUUUUUAAUUCUCUCCCACACUUGGUUCUAUGAGAAAUUCUGAGUCGACCAUAUUGAUCGCACCAUUUCCUAUCUUCAACGAGAUAAACCAUUGAUACAAUACUGGGACGAAGAAAAGGCAGCAAAGGUCGACAAAAUAAUAUCGCAGAACUACAUAGGAGUAGGACAGGUAUAUGCUUACUGUUGCUAGUUGUCAUCUGCUCAGUUUUUGCAAAAUGACUCAUAAUAUAUAAAAAAUUGCAGAUGGUAGACGACCUCAGGCGCCCUUGGAAGCCAAUGCCGAAGGCUUCACAUCAACCUACAAAGUCUACUUUUGAGGUACGUCCUAUGUAACUUGUACAAUGAUACUACUCGUUUCUUAGGCUGAAACUAUUUGUUUGUACAAAUAUUUUUAUGAAACAAUCAGUUCUAAUUUAUCUUAACUUGUAGGUCGAUGGGACACUAGGCCGCGUACUCGCCUAGGUGGGAGAGAUAAAAGCAAUAGUGUGUCAGCAAUAUUCGGAGAUUUCCGCAAAACUGGACGGAGUAGAAAGGCUUAAAAAGCAAAACAGCAUGCGCUUGGAGGACUUCAUUUGUGCAUUCAAUGUAUGCAUUUGUUCUUUUUUUGUUGUAAUUCAUCCUUCUAGAUGAGUGCAUGACUAACAUUUUUUCAUUAAUAGGAUCAUCGAUUUGGAGUAGGACAGAAGGACUUUAAUGAGGGUCAGAGAGUUGAUAAUAAUAUCAAGGUAUGUCACAAAAUUUCUAACUGUCUUCAUGUCAGAAUGUAUGCUAACCAUUUUUCAUUUUAACGUGCGAACUAGAAAACCUCGAAGAAUGUUGCUGCUAGUACAAAUGAAGUGCCAAAGUGUGUCUACAGCAACCCCAGCAAGAACCUUGCUGGGGAAUUUGAGGUAUGAAUUCCAUCUUGGUACAAUGUUUUUUUGUCAACCAUACUUAGUGCUAACUUGUCCAUCUGUACAGAAGGUAAAAAAAACACCUGUGGACCCCCACAAAGGAAAAACAGACAGAGAUGACGCUGUGGACUCAUUUGGUAAGCGUUUUAGGAGUGACAGCAAGAACUUACCCUCCCAAUCUGAGGUCAGCAUCACAUGUCUGAACUAUAUUGCUAGGAAAGGGUUUAUUUCAACCAUAUUCUUAACUUGAUGACAACAUUGCAGAAGGUGAAGAAAACAUAUGUACACCCCCAGAAGUUAAAGACUGAAAGAGACGAUAGCAAGAACUUACCCUCCGAAUAUGAGGUCUGCAUCACAUCUUAACCAAAUUGCUAACAAACGUUUUUCUCAACCCAUAUUCCUAACCUUAAGUCAAAUAUCGCAGAAGGUCAAGCAUACGUCCAUGGAUGCCAUGGACUCCAUAGGGAGGCGUGUCAGACAUGACAGCCGGAAGAAAAAGAAGUCUUCACUCCUUCAGAGCGAGGAAUACGAAUUUUACACCCCCGCGCUCAGAAGGAAAAGAGCUCUAUCUCAACAGACACAUGACAGUAACGAUAUUAUGUACACACAGAAUAAGAAGAUGAAUCCCGGGAAAAGCAGCGCCCAGCAGCUAAAACAGCUCAAGGAGGACUUGAUCAAUUUUCAGGCAGAAACAGAUCGAGUUACACAGAAUAUAGUAGUUGACUAUGUAAACACUACUCCUGAGACCGCCAAGUUGGUGAAGAUCAAGGACAUACUUCUAACGCAGAAGUAUCUUAAAUGCCUGACAACACCAGAUCAUUCCUCCUUUGCAGCUUGGGUGGAUGACGAUGUAAGUGCUAACGCAAAAUAGUAUCUUUGAUUAUUUAUAUGUUUUCCAAUUAAGCUAAUAUCUUCUUUCUUAGGUACUCGAUGCGGCGUUUGAACUCCUACGCCUGGACGGACUAGAAGGUGUACGAGACCAUGGUACCGUGUAUGUCGAAAGGUCGACCAUUGUCAACAUCCUAAAGAGAGAUGGCACAGUCCCGAAUUGUACCUUGGAUGUUUUAAGCGGCAAAUCAGGCACUAAAUGUGGAGAUAACUACCUGAAGCAUGACAUGGUAAAAAAAUCCACCCUUCUCUUAUAUAAAUAAGAAAUUUUAUUUUUAGGCACUUCAAACCAGUUACAAAUUUUGCACGCAGAUUUUCCUACCUUCAAAUAUUCCCAACCACCACUGGUUCCUGGCUGUUGUCAACUCCCAAAAGAGGGAGAUUCAAAUUCUGGACUCACUCCAAUCACGCAACAACCGCAAAGAAGUAAUUGCUGCGGUGAGGCUCUAACAACAUUUUAUAUAACUUACAGUUUAUACGAAUAAUGUACUAAAUUGAGUGAUAUGUUACUUGCAGCUUCUUGGAAUGGAAACACAUAUUGAUAUAGCAGUGAUGGAAAAUAGAAUGCCAGGAAGUAGAUGGUCGGACACUCAAGUGGCUUCGUGGCCUAUCACAGACUAUGAAGUGCCACAGCAAAAAGAUGGGUGUUGAAAUACAUCCAAUAUUGGACUAGAGUGAGAUUGUCGGCAAUAUUCAACCAGGUACCUACAUCUUCCCUAUCUAACUUAACUUUCACAUAUACAAAGGGUCCUAACGUCUACCUCCUAUGCAGGAUGACAUAAGACAGUUCAGAAGAUGGUUUGCUGCUGCGUUGAUCAAUUCACCUCACAAUGAGUUGAAAGUUCGGAAGGCCAUACCAGCAGUUGACUUAGAAGAUGAUUUAGAAGACGUCGACCUCGGAGGUGACGACGGACACAACGACAGCGGAGAUGUCUUAGGAGACGAUGAUUCCGCACUAUAGUUGUGUGGUGCUAGACUAAGGGAAGAGUUAAUAGGAUUGGGGGUGGUGUGGUUUUUGCCCCGUAGACGGUUUCCACACCGUUUUCAAUUUUAUUACUUUAUCUAUUUAUCUAUACAUCAGAGAUGUAUCAAACAUUUUUUUUGGUUGUGCUACUUUAUCUAUACGGCAAAUUGCCGUACAUUUACUACUUUUAUCCAUAUUGAAUAUCUACAUUAAUUUUUAAUUAAAGUCUUUCACGCACAAAAUCUUGUAUUCUUUGUUUAAUGAUGCAAUUCCCUUUGGUUUAUAGGAUGUGAUUCAAAAACAAAAUUUCUAAGUGGCUUUACACUUUCAGUCGCAAUUUCCUUGUUACUUGUGUCCUUGGAAGCAACACAAUCUUUUUAAACCUGGGGUUUCAAUUCUGUAUUAUGCCAAUGAAUGAUAGGCAAAUGCUGUCCUGAUAUUUCAACUUGUGCAUCCUACCAUUUAAUCGAUGAUCAGGAUUUUCUAAAAAGCCAACUUGGCCACCAACUUGGGAACUAUCCAUUGCCUAUAUGAGUGUUGAACAGGUGUACUAAUUAACUAGACUGAACUGGAAUGUCUGUUCAUAUGACCAUGACUGAAUCAGCUGGAACUGAAACAUGCUCUAUGUGGAAUCUGAAACUGCACAUGCUCUGCACUAAUAUCACAUACAAAAAAAUCCUUGUGUACAUGAGCUCCUGUACUUUCGGACUUGCUGCUGUACAAGCUAGUGUGGAUUUCUGAAUUUGAACAAGUACACAAGAUGAGCAGAGAGGACGAGCAUGGACCUGAACUGCUGCUGGUGUGAUGGAACUCGUCCUCCUCCUAGGCGAGGACCAUGGCUGGAUCAGCUUUUUCCCUCCAAAUCGCUUGUCACUGCUAUACAGGAAGGAUAGACAUACACGUUUGACAUCAUUGUUUAUCUCCACACGGCACUAUUUGAGUUAGAAACAAAAACAUAGGAUUUGUGAUGCUAUGACAUCUUAAUGAUUCAUGAACUAAGCUGAAUAAGCCUAGGUCCAAUUUCAGAAUAAGCCUCGGUACAGACACAGCUAGCAAGUGGCGGUGCCUGGGCCAGAGACGAUGGAGAAUCUAGCUUACGAAAUCGAGGAAAGAAAUGGGGGCCAAUGGAUCGAUGGGUUGGAUGCGAGUACCUGCAUCGGCCACGACAGAUCUGUACGGCACUGGUCGGCGUGUAGGGCCUUGACGGCGACGGGGCAUGCUGGCAACGUCUCGCCUUAGUCCUCCCCCUCGGCGACCCGCUCCACAUCCUGCAGCUUAGGAGGGGAACACGAAUGGCGGGACAUUUAGCCGCCGACCACAGCCGCCGACCAGAAAAACAACUUGUAUCAAGAUUCCUCACCAUAAUAAUAACAAUGAUUUCAGCUUCUAUAGAUGUGCAAUUUCAACGACUACAAACCCAAAUUACAGACCCAAAUAUCAUCCAAUGCGGCAAAUCAAAUCAAUCGACAAGUGAGAUCUGUACGAAGCUAGUACCUUAGUGGAACUCCAACUCGGCGGCGCGCAGGGCCGUCACGGCGAUGGGGCAUGCUGCUGCAGCAACGUCUCGCCUUCGUCCCCUUCCCCCUCCCCCUCAGCCACCAGCUCCAGAACACGAAUGGCAGGGCCAUCUCGCCGACGAUGACUGUGACACCAUGGGGGCAACGCCGCAGCGCCCGCUCAUCUGACCGAAGGCGGGGCACCAAACCCUAGCGCUCGCACUGACUGCGCGAAGGGCCGUCACGGCGACCGGGGCUCGUCAUCGUCCUCUCGCCCUACCGCGGCCAGCGUUCGAUUGGGAUUUUUUUUCUCAUUCGAGGUCUGCCUAAACAGUCGGCCUCAUUUCCCUCAAGGAGCAGACGGCGAUGGCUAAUGAAAAAAAAGAUCAAUACGUGAAAUUCCACAAAUGCCCUUCACUCGUUUUCUGAGGAAACCAGCCCGCGUUUUUGGUAAACAGCGAACUACCG
Molecule: long non-coding RNA, 6854 nt
Filed under: Triticum aestivum (bread wheat)
Lineage: Eukaryota; Viridiplantae; Streptophyta; Magnoliopsida; Poales; Poaceae
Description: long non-coding RNA (TAES_LNC005204)
Source: RNAcentral